CCUCUUGCCUCGUUGGUCUCCAUGUUCCUGCCUAACAGAGAGACAGAGCCUGAGUAAUUGAAUCAUGAACGCAAGUGCCCACUGGGGACUGUGGGGAAGAUGGCACCUGGAAAUGCAAGGUGCGGCUCUAUCCCCAACUCUGUGUCACACUACCUGUGACGACCAGCUCAGAUCUCCUUUGCUUUGACUCUCAAGAGAGGACUGAUUUGCAGCAUCUAGCUGGAGGCAGGCCCAAGGGUGUUAGAAGGGAAACAGCUGGGACAGCCGGCUGUCCCUUCAGGCUGUGUGACCUUGGGAAAGUCAUUUGGCUUCUCUGUGCCUGUUUCUUCAUGCAUGCAGUGGGGAUUCCAGUAAGUACCAACUACCUCACAGGCAUGGCACGGAGGCAAAAGGAAAAAGCAGCCCGCAUCAAGCAAGCCCUCCUGGGCCACCUGCUGAUCUGACAGUCCAUCGUAGUAACAAGAGUGGCAGUCUGCACAACCUAGAAGUGGCCAGAAGGGUUGAGACACGCCCCUGCCCUCUCUCCUUUGCCCCUCAGUCUCACAGAGGGGCUUCUACAAGACAAGCAGAUAACGAUAGAAUCUUGGGCAUCUUGGCUUUCGGAUUCUCAGUGUGGAGGGACGUAGUACCCCACACACCCCUUCCUGUCAUCCUUCCUGGCCCAUAAAGCCCACUAGUUGGAGAGUAAGUACCCUCCUGGAAGCCGGGAGAGAUGAUUUGCUGGUGGGGCUGGGGAAGGCCCAUCCCUGAGCCUCUGAAAGUGAACUCCCCGACCAGGUUGGGGACCAGACAUGCAGAGCCCCUGGAAGUAUUCUCUCAAAUGGAGGCAACAGAGGUGAUUGUUAUUUUGUUUUAGUUUCUGUUUUUCAUUUUUUUAAAUAAAGGCAUUCCCUGCUUUUA
RNAcentral lists this long non-coding RNA (900 nucleotides) under Homo sapiens (human). RNAcentral describes it as "HSALNT0263291". Lineage: Eukaryota; Metazoa; Chordata; Mammalia; Primates; Hominidae. The record is from RNAcentral.